GAACGCUGGCGGCAUGCCUAACACCUGCAAGUCGAACGAGCCCUUCGGGUCUAGUGGCGCACGGGUGCGUAACGCGUGGGAACCUGCCCUUAGGUUCGGAAUAACUCCCCGAAAGGGGUGCUAAUACCGGAUAAUGUCUUCGGACCAAAGAUUUAUCGCCUUUGGAUGGGCCCGCGUUGGAUUAGCUAGUUGGUAGGGUAAAAGCCUACCAAGGCGACGAUCCAUAGCUGGUCUGAGAGGAUGAUCAGCCACACUGGGACUGAGACACGGCCCAGACUCCUACGGGAGGCAGCAGUGGGGAAUAUUGGACAAUGGGCGAAAGCCUGAUCCAGCAAUGCCGCGUGAGUGAUGAAGGCCUUAGGGUUGUAAAGCUCUUUUACCCGGGAUGAUAAUGACAGUACCGGGAGAAUAAGCUCCGGCUAACUCCGUG
Molecule: ribosomal RNA, 430 nt
Filed under: uncultured bacterium
Lineage: Bacteria
Description: partial 16S ribosomal RNA
Rfam family: Bacterial small subunit ribosomal RNA
Source: RNAcentral